UGGGGAAUAUUGGACAAUGGGCGCAAGCCUGAUCCAGCCAUGCCGCGUGAGUGACGAAGGCCUUAGGGUUGUAAAGCUCUUUUGGCGGGGACGAUAAUGACGGUACCCGCAGAAUAAGCCCCGGCUAACUUCGUGCCAGCAGCCGCGGUAAUACGAAGGGGGCUAGCGUUGUUCGGAAUUACUGGGCGUAAAGCGCACGUAGGCGGAUAUGCCAGUCAGGGGUGAAAUCCCGAGGCUCAACCUCGGAACUGCCUCCGAUACAGCAUGUCUCGAGUCCGGAAGAGGUGAGUGGAAUUCCUAGUGUAGAGGUGAAAUUCGUAGAUAUUAGGAAGAACACCAGUGGCGAAGGCGGCUCACUGGUCCGGUACUGACGCUGAGGUGCGAAAGCGUGGGGAGCAAACAGGAUUAGAUACCCAAGUAGUCCCUGAGCGGGCUGGCAAGGCGCAU
Molecule: ribosomal RNA, 447 nt
Filed under: uncultured bacterium
Lineage: Bacteria
Description: bacterial SSU rRNA
Rfam family: Bacterial small subunit ribosomal RNA
Source: RNAcentral